Molecule: ribosomal RNA, 253 nt
Filed under: uncultured bacterium
Lineage: Bacteria
Description: partial 16S ribosomal RNA
Rfam family: Bacterial small subunit ribosomal RNA
Source: RNAcentral
UACGUAGGGCGCAAGCGUUAUCCGGAAUUAUUGGGCGUAAAGAGCUCGUAGGCGGUUUGUCGCGUCUGCCGUGAAAGUCCGGGGCUCAACUCCGGAUCUGCGGUGGGUACGGGCAGACUAGAGUGCAGUAGGGGAGACUGGAAUUCCUGGUGUAGCGGUGAAAUGCGCAGAUAUCAGGAGGAACACCGAUGGCGAAGGCGGUUCUCUGGGCAUUACCUGACGCUGAGGAGCGAAAGUGUGGGGAGCGAACAGG